GACGAACGCUGGCGGCGUGCUUAACACAUGCAAGUCGAACGAAGAGCGAUGGAAGCUUGCUUCUAUCAAUCUUAGUGGCGAACGGGUGAGUAACGCGUAAUCAACCUGCCCUUCAGAGGGGGACAACAGUUGGAAACGACUGCUAAUACCGCAUACGAUCUAAUCUCGGCAUCGAGGAUAGAUGAAAGGUGGCCUCUACAUGUAAGCUAUCACUGAAGGAGGGGAUUGCGUCUGAUUAGCUAGUUGGAGGGGUAACGGCCCACCAAGGCGAUGAUCAGUAGCCGGUCUGAGGGGAUGAACGGCCACAUUGGGACUGAGACACGGCCCAGACUCCUACGGGAGGCAGCAGUGGGGAAUCUUCCGCAAUGGACGAAAGUCUGACGGAGCAACGCCGCGUGAGCGAUGACGGCCUUCGGGUUGUAAAGCUCUGUUAAUCGGGACGAAAGGCCUUCUUGCGAAUAGUGAGAAGGAUUGACGGUACCGGAAGAGAAAGCCACGGCUAACUACGUG
RNAcentral lists this ribosomal RNA (510 nucleotides) under uncultured bacterium. RNAcentral describes it as "partial 16S ribosomal RNA". It matches the Rfam family "Bacterial small subunit ribosomal RNA", at positions 28 to 507 of the family's 1533-position model. The record is from RNAcentral.